Molecule: ribosomal RNA, 827 nt
Filed under: uncultured bacterium
Lineage: Bacteria
Description: bacterial SSU rRNA
Rfam family: Bacterial small subunit ribosomal RNA
Source: RNAcentral
AGAGUUUGAUCCUGGCUCAGAACGUACGCUGGCGGCACGCCUAACACGUGCAAGUCGAACGAAGUAGCAAUACUUAGUGGCAGACGGGUGAGUAACAUGUGGGUAUCUACCCUUUGGCCUGGAAUAACACGAGGAAACUUGUGCUAAUACCGGAUAAGUCUUUACGGAGAAAGCUUUAUGCACCAUUGGAUGAGCCCGCACUUGAUUAGUUUGUUGGUAGGGUAAUGGCCUACCAAGACUAUGAUCAAUAGCUGAUUUGAGAGGAUGAUCAGCCACAUUGGGACUGAGACACGGCCCAAACUCCUACGGGAGGCAACAGUGGGGAAUCUUGCACAAUGGAGGAAACUCUGAUGCAGCGAUGCCGCGUGAGUGAAGAAGGCCUUUGGGUUGUAAAGCUCUUUCGUCGGGGAAGAAAAUGACUGUACCCGAAUAAGAAGGUCCGGCUAACUUCGUGCCAGCAGCCGCGGUAAUACGAAGGGACCUAGCGUAGUUCGGAAUUACUGGGCUUAAAGAGUUCGUAGGUGGUUGAAAAAGUUGGUGGUGAAAUCCCAGAGCUUAACUCUGGAACUGCCAUCAAAACUUUUCAGCUAGAGUAUGAUAGAGGAAAGCAGAAUUUCUAGUGUAGAGGUGAAAUUCGUAGAUAUUAGAAAGAAUACCAAUUGCGAAGGCAGCUUUCUGGAUCAUUACUGACACUGAGGAACGAAAGCAUGGGUAGCGAAGAGGAUUAGAUACCCUCGUAGUCCAUGCCGUAAACGAUGUGUGUUAGACGUUGGAAAUUUAUUUUCAGUGUCGCAGGGAAACCGAUAAACACACCGCCUGGGGAGUAC